GUCCACGCCGUAAACGAUGGGUACUAGGUGCUUGGGGGAGCGACCCCCCGAGUGCCGGCGCUAACGCAUUAAGUACCCCGCCUGGGGAGUACGACCGCAAGGUUGAAACUCAAAGGAAUUGACGGGGGCCCGCACAAGCGGUGGAGCAUGUGGUUUAAUUCGACGCAACGCGAAGAACCUUACCCAGACUUGACAUGUAUGAGAAAGCCUCUGGAAACAGGGGCCCCUCUUCGGAGCUCAUGCACAGGUGCUGCAUGGCUGUCGU
Molecule: ribosomal RNA, 265 nt
Filed under: uncultured bacterium
Lineage: Bacteria
Description: partial 16S ribosomal RNA
Rfam family: Bacterial small subunit ribosomal RNA
Source: RNAcentral